UGGGGAAUAUUGGACAAUGGGCGAAAGCCUGAUCCAGCCAUGCCGCGUGUGUGAAGAAGGUCUUCGGAUUGUAAAGCACUUUAAGUUGGGAGGAAGGGCAGUAAGCGAAUACCUUGCUGUUUUGACGUUACCGACAGAAUAAGCACCGGUUAACUCUGUGCCAGCAGCCGCGGUAAUACAGAGGGUGCAAGCGUUAAUCGGAAUUACUGGGCGUAAAGCGCGCGUAGGUGGUUCGUUAAGUUGAAUGUGAAAGCCCCGGGCUCAACCUGGGAACUGCAUCCAAAACUGGCGAGCUGGAGUAGGGCAGAGGGUGGUGGAAUUUCCUGUGUAGCGGUGAAAUGCGUAGAUAUAGGAAGGAACACCAGUGGCGAAGGCGACCACCUGGGCUCAUACUGACACUGAGGUGCGAAAGCGUGGGGAGCAAACAGG
RNAcentral lists this ribosomal RNA (429 nucleotides) under Pseudomonadota bacterium. Its description in RNAcentral is "Proteobacteria bacterium partial 16S ribosomal RNA". It matches the Rfam family "Bacterial small subunit ribosomal RNA", at positions 355 to 776 of the family's 1533-position model. Lineage: Bacteria; Pseudomonadati; Pseudomonadota. The record is from RNAcentral.